UAGGGUGACUUGGUUUAUGAAGACUUAAGCUACAAGAAUCAUGGCUUAUGUAGGUCCUUGUGUACAAUUUUGGGAAUUCAGUUAUAGAAGGUGUUUUGAAAGUACGUUGUUGAUGAUGAUGAACUUGUGAGUAUUUAUGAGGUUGGAAUCAUUUGGUGGCUUGAGUUGGUCUGGAGGAUCCAUGAAGGCCUCCCAACCUGUCUGGCAGUUGGAAC
This 215-nucleotide long non-coding RNA is filed under the name Mustela putorius furo (domestic ferret). RNAcentral describes it as "lncRNA (ENSMPUG00000026942.1)". Lineage: Eukaryota; Metazoa; Chordata; Mammalia; Carnivora; Mustelidae. The record is from RNAcentral.